Molecule: ribosomal RNA, 738 nt
Filed under: Trechispora subhymenocystis
Lineage: Eukaryota; Fungi; Basidiomycota; Agaricomycetes; Trechisporales; Hydnodontaceae
Description: Trechispora sp. SLL-2022l partial small subunit ribosomal RNA
Rfam family: Bacterial small subunit ribosomal RNA
Source: RNAcentral
GAAUCCUUACUUGUGUCAAGUUGAGGAUAAAGGAUUGGAAAAUGAUGAUAGUACAUUCCUAUUAGUGUUGUCAAAAUACUGGUGCCAGAAGACUCGGUAAGGCCAGAAACGCUAACGUUAGUAGUCUUAAUCAGGCGUAAAGGGUUCGUAGACUUCUUCGAAUUAUUAUAUGCUCCCUAGUUUUCAAUUAACUUUAUUAUCUAGCGUCUGUUUUUAUUUUACUCUUGCUAGUGUAAUAUAAAGAAGCGUUCGAUAUUUAAAGGUAAACUAGGAGAAGUUAAUAUUGUGAAAUAAAUACUAUCUUUUUUUUAAGAGAUAUGUUAAUAUAAUAGCAAAAUUACUUCUUAUUAAAGGUAUAGUAAUGAAUGCGAAGAUAGAAUCUUAUGCGAGGUGCUUUAACAAAUGCUUUAAGUAAGGAUGAAAUCUUUAGAUCUAAAGUGGAAGACUAAGGGCGAAAGCUAUUUACCUAGUAAAGAUUGACGUUGAGGAACGUAGGUUAGGAUCGAAAAAAGGAUUAGAUACCCAAGUAUUCCUAUCUGUUAACGAUGAAUGGUUAGUUAUUCAGUUAAAAUAUUAUAUUUAUUAUACUAGAAACUUUUUAUAGUGAGUAGUAAACAAAGAAAAUAUCUUAAAACUGGGAAGCGUAGCUAACGCAAUUACCAUUCCGCCUUGUGAGUACGACUGCAAAGUUGAAAACAAAAAAAUUAGUCGGUUUCGGAGCAAACGAAGUGAGGCAUG